This 211-nucleotide ribosomal RNA is filed under the name Triticum aestivum (bread wheat). RNAcentral describes it as "partial small subunit ribosomal RNA". Lineage: Eukaryota; Viridiplantae; Streptophyta; Magnoliopsida; Poales; Poaceae. The record is from RNAcentral.
AUACCCAUAUCUACUCAAGUCAUCAGUGAGGGUGAGAACAUAACGAUAGCCACCGCGAGCCUCAACACUCAUUGGACCGCACACAUCAGUAUGUAUGAUUUCCAAUAAGUUGGUUGCUCGCUCCAUUGUUCCGGAGAACAGAGUCUUGGUCAUUUUGCCCAUGAGGCAUGGUUCGCACGUGUCAAAUGAUUCAUAAUCAAGAGACUCCAAA